GUGCCAGCCGCCGCGGUAAUACCAGCCCCGCGAGUGGUCGGGACUCUUGCUGGGCCUAAAGCGCCCGUAGCCGGCCCGGUAAGUCCCUCCUUAAAGCCCCGGGCUCAACCCGGGGAGCGGGGGGAUACUGCCGGGCUAGGGGGCGGGAGAGGCCGGGGGUACCCCAGGGGUAGGGGCGAAAUCCGAUAAUCCCUGGGGGACCACCAGUGGCGAAGGCGCCCGGCUGGAACGCGCCCGACGGUGAGGGGCGAAAGCCGGGGGAGCGAACCGGAUUAGAUACCCGGGUAGUCCCGGCUGUAAACUAUGCGGGCCAGGUGUCGGGCGGGCGUUAGAGCCCGCCCGGUGCCGCAGGGAAGCCGUUAAGCCCGCCGCCUGGGGAGUACGGCCGCAAGGCUGAAACUUAAAGGAAUUGGCGGGGGGGCACCACAAGGGGUGAAGCUUGCGGCUUAAUUGGAGUCAACGCCGGAAACCUUACCCGGGGCGACAGCAGGAUGAUGGCCAGGCUAACGACCUUGCCGGACGAGCUGAGAGGAGGUGCAUGGCCGUCGUCAGCUCGUGCCGUGAGGUGUCCGGUUAAGUCCGGCAACGAGCGAGACCCCCACCCCUAGUUGCUACCCGAUCCUUCGGGAUCGGGGGCACACUAGGGGGACUGCCGGCGUAAGCCGGAGGAAGGAGGGGGCCACGGCAGGUCAGCAUGCCCCGAAACCCCCGGGCCGCACGCGGGCUACAAUGGCAGGGACAGCGGGAUCCUGCCCCGAGAGGGGUGGGCAAUCCCUAAACCCUGCCUCAGUUGGGAUCGAGGGCUGCAACUCGCCCUCGUGAACGAGGAAUCCCUAGUAACCGCAGGUCACCAACCUGCGGUGAAUACGUCCCUGCUCCUUGCACACACCGCCCGUC
RNAcentral lists this ribosomal RNA (897 nucleotides) under uncultured archaeon. RNAcentral's name for it is "SSU rRNA". It matches the Rfam family "Archaeal small subunit ribosomal RNA", at positions 455 to 1354 of the family's 1478-position model. The record is from RNAcentral.